GAUGAAAAACGCAGCGAAAUGCGAUAAGUAGUGUGAAUUGCAGAAUUCCGUGAAUCAUCGAAUCUUUGAACGCACAUUGCGCCCCCUGGUAUUCCGGGGGGCAUGCCUGUCCGAGCGUCAUUGCUGCCCUCAAGCACGGCUUGUGUGUUGGGCCUCCGUCCUCCUCCCGGGGGACGGGCCCGAAAGGCAGCGGCGGCACCGCGUCCGGUCCUCGAGCGUAUGGGGCUUCGUCACCCGCUCUUGUAGGCCCGGCCGGCGCUUGCCGACACAUCAAUCUUUUUUCCAGGUUGACCUCGGAUCAGGUAGGAAUACCCGCUGAACUUAAGCAUAUCAAUAAGCGGAGGA
RNAcentral lists this unclassified non-coding RNA (345 nucleotides) under soil metagenome. RNAcentral's name for it is "partial contains 5.8S ribosomal RNA, internal transcribed spacer 2, and large subunit ribosomal RNA". The stretch from base 1 to 120 matches the Rfam family "5.8S ribosomal RNA", at positions 35 to 154 of the family's 154-position model. The record is from RNAcentral.